GGAAGAGAAGGGAAUUGGGUGACCACUUUCCUGAAGACCUUAGUAUAAUCCCAUGAUCUCACCGGAAAAUGCACAAACACUCAUCAUGUGAUUUCAAGACAGAGAGGAAUGCUUAAACUCAGAUCUCCAGAAAGGGUUUUGAAUAUAUGGGUGAAUAAGGCAUCCUGUUUUCCAGAUGGAUAAUGCACACCAGUGCCUCAUCGAGGUGUUUUUGUUGGCCCCACACCCCACCUCAAGGACGGCAGCGAUGUCUGGUUUCCUUGCAUAUCCAAGUGGGGACACUGCUGAGACAGUGGAACAAAUGUACUGAGAAAAACCAUGUGGUACAGUGCACUCCUGGGCAAGAGCACUCUGGAGUUGGCUUCAGCAGGCUCAUGAUACUGAUCUUGACUCUCACCACAAUGGAGAAGAUGCUGGGCUAUUACUUCGAAUAUACAAAUGAACAACUGUAGUAAAGCUAUCCAGGCUAACUCUUCCCGGGGAUUUCCUUGGAGAGAAGAGUGGUCCGCUGAGGCUGGUUUGCUUAACCUCUCCUUUAUCAAGAGAUGAUGACUGGCUUUAAAGGAAAAUAAAGCUGAAGAUGCAAUGCCCAGGAGCACAGCAGCCAUGUUCCACUCAGGAGGAUGAAUGCAACAUAUGAAAGAAGGCAGAGCAGAAGAACAGAACUUGUGUCCUCCAUGGCAUCUUUUAAGUCACUAAAUUGACAAUGGAUUACUAUCUCUGGGCCUUGUGUUACAUGUUGAGAAGGAAGGAAAGAGGGAACCUCAUUUGCUUAAACUACUAAAUCCAGGGCUCCGUAACAUCUAUCAAUAGAUCAUCAGAAGGGAUAUGCCCAAUUAUAACAAAAAUACAUCAUUCAUGCAGGAAUGCAUCAAAAAUUACCUUUACCAACACAAAAAACUAAAAUGGACACUGAUUUGUUUAUUAGCAAAUAGUUUUAGAACUUUCAGUGAUUCUCCACAAAUAUCUACAUAUACAUAUAAGGAGUCAUAAACACAUAGCUGUGUCC
Sciurus carolinensis (gray squirrel) is the source of this 1009-nucleotide long non-coding RNA. RefSeq lists it as uncharacterized. The record is from RefSeq and is a predicted model, not a curated record. NCBI's taxonomy places the organism in Eukaryota, Metazoa, Chordata, Mammalia, Rodentia, Sciuridae. The transcript has 5 exons.